Molecule: long non-coding RNA, 826 nt
Filed under: Heterocephalus glaber (naked mole-rat)
Lineage: Eukaryota; Metazoa; Chordata; Mammalia; Rodentia; Bathyergidae
Description: lncRNA (ENSHGLG00100039835.1)
Source: RNAcentral
UCUCACCUAACAAGUCUGGAGGUUAAAGGGGGAGGGGGACAGGGCUGGUUAUGUCAGUGGCCUCAGAACCCCCACUCCCAUCUUUCUAGUCUGUCUGUGGCUUUCCAGAUUGGAAAAAGAUUGCAGCAGCUCCAGGUGUUAGAAUUUUAGGCCAGAGGCCUGACUCUUGGCAUCUCCACAGAGCAGAUUCAGCUUUGCACCCCAAGAAAAAAAAAUCAAAUGGAAGAGGGUGAUGGUGGGGUAACAAAGGAACUUAUUUUCAGUGGGUCGACACAAGGAAGACAGGCCUAAGGACCACCGUAAAGCCAUCAACAGCAGCUUUGAGGCCAGGGUUGGGAGCUUUGCUGCAGAGGAACUCAUUUUUAUAAGUUAUAACAGACCAUACUCCCCAUUAACUGUCAUCCGUGAACUACAGCAUUGUCUGUAGUUCAUGUACAUAUUACUUCUAGUCAUUCCAACAACCAUAGAAGUUCUCCUGGCCCAGGCCAUGCCCAGGGUAAGUAUUGUGGCUGAAUGGCCUGAGGGACCCAGACUUCAUCUCUAGUGUGGCCUGGCUGUUCUCAGCGGCAUAGACCAAGGUGACUGCUCCAGGUUCCACUGUCAGGGGCAGAGAAGAGAAGGGAGUCCUGGACGAUGUACUCACUCCCUGAGGGCAGGAUCCUAGGGUCACAUGCAUAGCUUCUACCCACCAACCACUGCCCCGCACUCAAUCAGACCAUCACACCUGCAAGGGACACUGGGAAAUGGAGCCCAUAUUUUGGGCAACCUGUGACCAGCUAAAAAUGAGAUUAAAUUAUUGAGAGCAAAAAGAGAAAUGGUUACCUUU